AUGGUUGUGAAUCCAACAGUUGGGGCAUCGUUCGACUCGAUUGAUGAGGCGUACGAGUUCUACAAUCUAUAUUCGUGGGAGUGUGGUUUUGGUGUCCGCCUUUCGUCGAGCAGGAUGAACGUUGAUAGGAAGAGAUGCAUGCAAGAGAUUGUAUGCGCAUGUGCGGGCAAGCCACUGAAGGAGAACACCAAAUCAGCGAGAUGUGGAUGCACGGCUAUGAUUAGGCUGCUUAGAGCUAGUGAUAAUGGCUGGUACAUAUCAGAACAUAAAGAAGAUCAUAAUCACCCAUUGUCUCUGACGUGUGGAGAGAAAAUGCAUUGGAAA
Molecule: ribosomal RNA, 324 nt
Filed under: Triticum aestivum (bread wheat)
Lineage: Eukaryota; Viridiplantae; Streptophyta; Magnoliopsida; Poales; Poaceae
Description: partial small subunit ribosomal RNA
Source: RNAcentral